Helicoverpa zea (corn earworm) is the source of this 338-nucleotide long non-coding RNA. RefSeq lists it as uncharacterized. The record is from RefSeq and is a predicted model, not a curated record. The transcript is spliced from 2 exons. NCBI's taxonomy places the organism in Eukaryota, Metazoa, Arthropoda, Insecta, Lepidoptera, Noctuidae.
UUGAUUAUGAGGAAGUCCCUUCCGGCGGUGCUUGCAACACUUGCAUAUGUCUGCACGGCCGAAAGAUCUGCACUAUGACACAUUGCACUGACAGUACUGCAGACUGGACAACCCGACUUGCUGCUGCUCACAACCGGAAUGCCGCAUGUCCCAAAGGUACCUUCAUCCACAACCCGAACCAGCCCUGCAGCAUAUGUCUUUGUGGCGGCAACGAUCCAGGGUCCCACAAUAUGUGCUUCAUAGAUGCCGAGUGUGUCAAACAAGUCAUCAGCCACUUGAACGGCUAAGCUGUGGUUUCUUUGUGAAUAUCAACGUCAAUAAAUCUUAUGAAACUGGUC